RNAcentral lists this ribosomal RNA (460 nucleotides) under uncultured bacterium. RNAcentral's name for it is "partial 16S ribosomal RNA". It matches the Rfam family "Bacterial small subunit ribosomal RNA", at positions 338 to 795 of the family's 1533-position model. The record is from RNAcentral.
CCUACGGGAGGCAGCAGUGAGGAAUAUUGGUCAAUGGGCUAGAGCCUGAACCAGCCAAGUCGCGUGAAGGAUGACUGCCCUACGGGUUGUAAACUUCUUUUGUCAGGGAGCAAUGUGGGCCACGUGUGGCCGUACCGAGAGUACCUGAAGAAAAAGCAUCGGCUAACUCCGUGCCAGCAGCCGCGGUAAUACGGAGGAUGCGAGCGUUAUCCGGAUUUAUUGGGUUUAAAGGGUGCGUAGGCGGAAUGUCAAGUCAGCGGUAAAAAUUCGGGGCUCAACCUCGUUGUGCCGUUGAAACUGGCGGUCUUGAGUGGGCGAGAAGUAUGCGGAAUGCGUGGUGUAGCGGUGAAAUGCAUAGAUAUCACGCAGAACUCCGAUUGCGAAGGCAGCUUACUAAACUGCCACUGACAUUGAUGCUCGAAAGUGUGGGUAUCAAACAGGAUUAGAUACCCGUGUAGUC